GUGCCAGCCGCCGCGGUAAUACCGGCAGCACAAGUGAUGGCCUAUCUUAUUGGGCCUAAAGCGUCCGUAGCUGGCCGAGCAGGUCCGUCGGGAAAUCCACGUGCUCAACGCGUGGGCGUCCGGCGGAAACCACUCGGCUUGGGGCCGGAGGACUCGAGGGGUACGUCUGGGGUAGGAGUGAAAUCCCGUAAUCCCGCACGGACCACCGAUGGCGAAAGCACUUCGAGAAAACGGAUCCGACAGUGAGGGACGAAGGCCAGGGUCUCCAACCGGAUUAGAAACCCCAGUAGUCC
Molecule: ribosomal RNA, 293 nt
Filed under: uncultured bacterium
Lineage: Bacteria
Description: partial 16S ribosomal RNA
Rfam family: Archaeal small subunit ribosomal RNA
Source: RNAcentral